CCUACGGGUGGCAGCAGUGGGGAAUAUUGGGCAAUGGGCGCAAGCCUGACCCAGCAACGCCGCGUGAAGGAAGAAGGCCCUCGGAUUGUAAAGUUCUUUUAUUAGGGACGAAAAAAAUGACGGUACCGAAUGAAUAAGCAACGUCUAACUACGUACGAGCAGCCGCGGUAAUACGUAGGGGGCAAGCGUUAUCCGGAUUUACUGGGUGGAAAGGGAGCGUAGACGGGGCUGCAAGUCCGGAGUGAAAGCGCAUGGGUUAACCAUAGUAGUGCUCUGGAAACUGUGGAGCUUGAGUGCGGGAGAGGCAGGCGGAAUUACGAGUGUAGCGGUGAAAUGCGUAGAGAUUAGGAGGAACACCAGCGGCGAAGGCGGCCUGCUGGACCGUAACUGACGUUGAGGCUCGAAAGCGUGGGGAGCAAACAGGAUUAGAUACCCGUGUAGUC
This 443-nucleotide ribosomal RNA is filed under the name uncultured bacterium. RNAcentral's name for it is "partial 16S ribosomal RNA". It matches the Rfam family "Bacterial small subunit ribosomal RNA", at positions 338 to 795 of the family's 1533-position model. The record is from RNAcentral.